CACGAGAAAUUCAAAAAGCGAAGAAUGGUUUCGACCCAUUUAUUGGGUACACAUACCCUCUUGUGU
RNAcentral lists this transfer RNA (66 nucleotides) under Discocelis tigrina. Its description in RNAcentral is "tRNA-Arg". Lineage: Eukaryota; Metazoa; Platyhelminthes; Polycladida; Discocelidae. The record is from RNAcentral.